AGUGAACGCUGGCGGCAGGCCUAAUACAUGCAAGUCGAACGGCAGCACAGCAGAGCUUGCUCUGUGGGUGGCGAGUGGCGGACGGGUGAGGAAUACAUGGGAAUCUGCCCAGUCGUGGGGGAUAACGUAUGGAAACGUACGCUAAUACCGCAUGCGCCCUACGGGGGAAAGUCGGGGACCGGCAAGGCCUGACGCGAUUGGAUGAGCCCAUGUUCGAUUAGCUAGUUGGCGGGGUAAAGGCCUACCAAGGCGAUGAUCUAUAGCUGGUCUGAGAGGAUGACCAGCCACACUGGAACUGAGAUACGGACCAGACUCCUACGGGAGGCAGCAGUGGGGAAUAUUGGACAAUGGGCGCAAGCCUGAUCCAGCCAUGCCGCGUGCG
This 382-nucleotide ribosomal RNA is filed under the name uncultured bacterium. RNAcentral's name for it is "bacterial SSU rRNA". It matches the Rfam family "Bacterial small subunit ribosomal RNA", at positions 29 to 405 of the family's 1533-position model. The record is from RNAcentral.